Amphiprion ocellaris (clown anemonefish) is the source of this 2837-nucleotide long non-coding RNA. The record is from Ensembl. Lineage: Eukaryota; Metazoa; Chordata; Actinopteri; Pomacentridae.
AUCAACAGAUAACAUUUAUUUGUUUAUUCUGAAAAAUGCAGAAAAAGACAGAUGAACUUCCCUUUAAAGCGGGAACUACAUAUUAGGCAGAUCCUGAGGAAAAAAACAAAACAGAACACUGUGCCAACUCUACUUUCCCUGUAUUAUCAGACAGAAAAGUACCCAAAAAUAUGUAUGACUCUGAAUAAACCAUGGAUCCAUCACUUUUACACAUUACAAAUUUACAGUAUCAUCAUAAAAUAUGUCCUAUGACAGGAAUCCCAAAAUGAAAUGAUUUGUUAAAGUCACAUUCAACCAGUCCACUUGCACAGCCUGCUGGUCACAUAAUAUACUGCAAUCCCAGUAUGACUGCAUGUACUACAGCAUUUAGCCCCGAGCUGAGGGGAAAAAAAAAACAAUCUAGACUACAUACAUGUGGAUCUGUCUUCACAAAGGUAUUACUACAGACAUUUAAACAGGAACAGAUCAAUGAGACAGUAUUUUAACCUGACAAAUCAAAAAAGAAAUUAUAGGAAAUGGGGUUACCAGGAGUGUUAAGGCUGCAAAUGAUAUUACAAAUGUGAUUUUAUCAAUGAGUGUUUUAUGAUUCCUGGUACCAACACCCAAAAUUUCAUUCACUUUGCACCAUAGUAUACUUUGACAAUAGCACUCAUUUAACACCAAUCUACAUGCUUGAAUUAAUACAUUCAACACAUUUUGUAGUUGGAAUAAUCAUAGGAUGUACAUUAGAGGAACAAGGCCUGCUGGUUUGCUCAUCACCUUUGACCUCUCCCAUUCAUAUUUUCAGUGGAUCCUGGUUCAGAAGUUUUUGUGACACUACCGAAAGACGAAAAGGUCCAUGACAGUAAAAGGGCAUUAGUUCUAGUCUGAUCACUAUUUGACAAACAGCAUCAUCAGGCAAUAAGAGCUGCAUCUAGUUACUUUUCCUCUCUAAGAGAGGAAAAUCAUAUGUGCUUGAAGAAAAAGGGUAAAGCAUUUGCACAAACAGGAAAAACUGGCAAACUGGAAAUAGCUUCAUGUCCACAGAUGGUCAGAUGUCAAUACCUUUAGUGAUUUUGACAAAACAAUAUUAACAUCACAUGAAAUCAAAAUUUUAAAACACAAACUGCUACAAAGGUGGGUCACAUUAGGUUAAGUGAAUUUAACAGCAUCUAUCAGCUUUAAAUGGAUGGAAGCUCAAACGAUAGCCGAAAUUACAGUGUGUGACAACCUGUGCUGGGAAUAGAGGAGAGCUGUAACUGAAAAAAAAUAUGAUAGAUGUAUAGGAGGGGAACUCUGCCAACUCUAUUAAACCUAACCCACCUUUGCAGCACUGUCUGCAUUAAUGAUUUGGACACAAGUUUAAUUCUUGGCCUACUGUUGGUACACCAGCUUUGAAAAGACAAAAACGCAGGAAUCUUCUAAGAAACCACUGAACUAGUACUUGCAGCAUCAAGCUUCCAAAUUGCUCUAGUAAAAAAAAAAAAAAAAAAAAAAAAAAAAACAGCAAACAUGACUUCAGAAGGCAGAUCAGGAAGUUCAUAGUUUAUUAAAAUUCUAUAUGAUUUAAUCUAAAUGAGUAUAAAAAAAAAACUGUUGAAAUCAAUGCAAAAUUCCUAAGCAAGUGUGAGUGUACAAUGUAUGGUCCAGUGUACUCUACUCAUUUCAAGUUUAUUACAAACAGCAAUCUUCAACCCUGAAAGCAACUCAGAGAACCGUGAGUAUUUCUCAGAAUAAAACAACGAACAUAUCGCAUUUUGCCUUGCUACCUCUACCUGUCCUUUGAUAAACCUCUGAGAAUAAAGAAGGAAACUGAAUGUUCCAAAUCUCCAGUGUGGCCCAGCCACCGUGAGGUCCGUUUACAAAUCAGAUAAUAAAUACAGGCAUCCAAAUGGGCUACAACAGCAAAUAUUUUGAAAAUAUUUUCCUCAUGCAUACACACAAGCAUACGUCUGACUGAGAUUAUGAGCUUCCUAUACCCUCUUGUCUACUCUCAACAGUUAUUCUUUACAGUGCAACAGUAUGGCAGCAAAUGGAUAGCAGUGCUUUCAUUAAAAAAAAAAGAAUGGAAAAUAAAAAUAUAUACAACAUCAUGGAAAAGCAGUAGUUUCAUCUUUUGGUCCUGUGUCCAUUACAGACAGAACUGCUUUUUUAAAUUCUUCCUCAUAUCAACAACAGUAGUUUCCACAAGACUGAAGAGCUGUGGGAGGAAAAGGUGGAACAAGUAUUAGGAUUUUAAAUCUUGCUGUUUGAAGGUGCGUGUAUUACACCCACAUCGCACAUAUCUUUGUUUGGUCAAAUGCACUUUUUGAGGACAGCAGAGUGCUGACUAUGAUCCUUUCAACUGUCUUUAGUUCCCAAACAUGCUUAAUAUUGUUGGGCUUCAUCUGUCACUUAAAGGAUGACUGGGUCUGAAAAAUGUGAAAGUGACCAUGGCAACAUUGAGUGGGAGUUUAAAAACAAGGCGAGGUGCAACGUUAUCAGUUAACCAGCUGUCUGAAGCCAGUACAAAGCCGUACCACUGCCAAAAAUCAUGACAGCGUCAGAAAAAAAACAAAAGAGACUAAAUAAAUAACAUCAAAUCAAAGUCACUCAUUUACUGACAGCUGAGUCAUGGUCACAAGGAAAAGUGAAGUGGUUAUCAGCAAAACAAAGCUAAUCAAGAGGGAAAAGGACAUUGAUUCCGUCAUGCUGGCUGAGAAUUCCCCCAAUACAACAUGGCAGCACAAUACAGUAAAAAUAUGAGCUGUGCAGCAUUUCUCUUGUUUCCUCUCAAAGCCACACAAGACAAGUCUGCUGCUGUGCCUAUGCAAAAUCUGCCAUAAUUUCUUUUGACAUGACAUGGGUGGAGUCAAGAC